AUUGAACGCUGGCGGAAUGCUUUACACAUGCAAGUCGAACGGUAGAGGGGGCAACCCCUCGAGAGUGGCGAACGGGUGAGUAAUAUAUCGGAACGUGCCCAGUCGUGGGGGAUAACGUAGCGAAAGUUACGCUAAUACCGCAUAGGAUCUAAGGAUGAAAGCGGGGGAUCGCAAGCACCCGCGCGAUUGGAGCGGCCGAUAUCAGAUUAGGUAGUUGGUGGGGUAAAGGCUCACCAAGCCAACGAUCUGUAGCUGGUCUGAGAGGACGACCAGCCACACUGGAACUGAGACACGGUCCAGACUCCUACGGGAGGCAGCAGUGGGGAAUUUUGGACAAUGGACGCAAGUCUGAUCCAGCCAUUCCGCGUGCAGGAUGAAGGCCCUCGGGUUGUAAACUGCUUUUGUACGGAACGAAAAGGUCUCUCUUAAUACGGGGGGCUCAUGACGGUACCGUAAGAAUAAGCACCGGCUAACUACGUGCCAGCCGCCGCGGUAA
RNAcentral lists this ribosomal RNA (496 nucleotides) under uncultured bacterium. RNAcentral describes it as "partial 16S ribosomal RNA". It matches the Rfam family "Bacterial small subunit ribosomal RNA", at positions 30 to 523 of the family's 1533-position model. The record is from RNAcentral.